UCAUUCCCUAAAUGAAUCUGUCUUCCUCAUAUCCAGCUGAGAUUUUUUUUCAUUCCUUGCCGUGCAAGUGAAAAUCCCUCUUCUCUCAUUUCUUCCUCUCUUAAUCCAACUAUUGCUGCUCUUUUUGCUUCCGCUGGGAUAAUUUGAUAGGAGAAGCAUGCAGAUAUCAGAUGAGAGAAUCGAGAGCUUAAGCAGCAUUAAAUGGUGGAGCUAGAGAAGUAGAGAAUAGAGUUCAUUAAGGAACUAGAGUCUGAGAGGAUAAACAUGUUCAUGGAUGCCCAUUGGAGCUUGAAAUUAAAUCUUUUAAAGCGUUCUAAAUAUGUUUCUUCUGUUUCAGGUGAAUUCAAUUCCUAUAUUUAUGAUUUUUAGCUGCUUCUUGUUUGGUGUUUUUGCUAUUGAAUUUGGUUGAAUUGGAACUGAAUUUGUCAAAAUGUUUGGAUUGCACUUUGAGUCCCAUUUUAUUGCAAAUAAUGCUAUAGAAACUUGUAUUCUUGAUGGGUAUGCAGAAAACAAUGUAGAUUUUGCUUUUGUCCAUUUUUCUUUUGCAGUGUAAUUCUUUAUCUUCUGCAUUUGAUAUUGGGUUUUUAGAGUAGUUUUGUUAAGUUUUGGACAGGAUUUAGAUUCUGAAAGAAUCUGCCAUGAAACUGGUUUAUCCAAGUGCAUUAGAGCUGCAUUGCAGGGGUUUGUGCAUCAGAGUUGACGAUGCAAGUUUAAGUGCUAAUUUGACUUAGUAUAUUUUUCAAUUCUUUUAGGGUGGAUUUUGGUGGAUUUUCCUUCACGCCAGUUGUGAAGCAAUUGAAGUAAUAGAGAAUGUUUGAAAUAUUUUCCAUAUUCAUUUGUUUUUUACCACUGAAUAGUGAAGAAGAAUCCAGAUUGAAACCUUCAAGCCUCCAAGUUUUUCUUCCUUGAUUGCGCACUUGGGAGGACCAAAAAUUUAAACUGAGCUGCUGCAAGUAUUUGGGUCCUUGUUCUCUUUAGCUGAUUUUCUCGUGGUUCUCUCAAUGAACUUUGCCAAUUUUACACAGGCUUGUCUAGGCAAAUUGUCAAUGGGUUAAAUGAGAGAAGCUGUUUGGGUGGAUUAUUGGGUUAAAUGGGUCAACUCAUUUACUAACCCUUAGCUCCAGAGUCAUUUGCAUCUUUUUCUCCCCCUCUAGUGGAAUAUUUAUAUCUCGUUAACGGUUGGACUUGUAAAUUUCUCGGAAUCAAAACAUAGGGAUUAAGUGACCUAAUUUCCAAAACCAAGGGACCAAGUCAUAAUUUUGAUCAAAGGUCAGGGAUUAUAUAUUAAAUUUUCCAUCUUCAUACGCCUUGUCCUUGGAGAUAAAAGUCAUAAAACAACUCGGUAGGUUAUUUUUUAGUUAAAGUUGUAGUUUUAUUUGUUAGUUUGCUUUUAAAUUUUGGACUACAUUCAUGCACUCAACUUUCAGAAAAAUUGAUUUCAUAAGGGAACUUUUCUCUUUCAUUCAUGAAUUAUUCUUGCAGACCUGAAUAUCUGAACCUGUCCUGAGGACCAGAACCAGAGCUGGAGGAACCGAAGAACUGAAUUGAAAUUUCAUUUGAUUUGGUUCAGGUUCUCACUACCUUCAGUUCUGGCUCCUGAAAAUCCUUGGGGUGGAAAAGAAUUGAACUGUGCACCACAUUUUGAUAACAUACUUGUCAAAAUGCAAAAGGUGCUAAGUUGAUGGAAUUAUGAGCUGUGUCAUACUUCUUAAAUUAGCAUGUACUUGUUGUAAUGUAGUUAAUGAGUGUUAGAAGGUUUCCCUGUGAAAAAUAUGUUAACUGUAUCUGUCUGUUUUAUAAGCUAUUUAGAGAAUAACUUUGUUCUGGGGAUAGAAAAUGUAAAUGCUCAGGCUAAUGAGUUGUGACUUAUGUUUUUUAAAGGAUUACUCAAAUCCUAGAGAGUUAGAGAUCAAAACAAAUCGUAUGAAGAGAUAAUGAUGGAUUUAAAAACUAAGUUUGCAUAAAUAAUUAUAUACAUACAUUCAUUCUUAUAUAUAUAU
Molecule: long non-coding RNA, 2000 nt
Filed under: Manihot esculenta (cassava)
Lineage: Eukaryota; Viridiplantae; Streptophyta; Magnoliopsida; Malpighiales; Euphorbiaceae
Description: long non-coding RNA (MESC_LNC009589)
Source: RNAcentral